Long non-coding RNA from Herpailurus yagouaroundi (jaguarundi), 173 nucleotides. RefSeq lists it as uncharacterized. The record is from RefSeq and is a predicted model, not a curated record. NCBI's taxonomy places the organism in Eukaryota, Metazoa, Chordata, Mammalia, Carnivora, Felidae. The transcript is spliced from 3 exons.
UGCUGUUUGUUCCUCUAUAUGUGGUGAUGAGGACAUCAGGACUGAAAGAAAACGAAGCGAUUUGUGCAAACGGCCUGAUUCCCGUGGACUUCCAACACAGACUUCUCAGGUUCUAACCCCAGUGCCGUCUGCACUUUAUCUAGAAACCGGCCACAGAUCGGAAGAGCGUCUUG